CGGUGGAGCAUGUGGAUUAAGUGCAACGCGCAGAACCUUACCUGGUUAAAUCCGCCGGAACCCCGCAGAGAUGGGAUCUCGACCGGUGAAGGUGUGACNAGCGCAACCCCUGUCUUCAGUUGCCAACGGGAUGUCAAGUCUCAUGGCCCUUAUGCCCAGGCUACAUACAUGGCUGGUACAAGGGUUGCAAACUCGCGAGAGCAAGCCUCUCAAAAAACCAGUCUCAGUUCGGAUAGAAGUGCAACUCGACUUCUUGAAGUCGGAAUCGCUAGUAAUCCGGAUCAGCACGCCGGGGUGAAUACGUUCCCGGGCCUUGUACACACCGCCGUCACACCAUGGGAGUCAGUUGCUCCAGAAGUGGCUUGCCUAACCGAAAGGAGGGCGGUCCCUAAGAGUGGCCGGUAACUGGGGUGAAGUCGUACAAGGU
Molecule: ribosomal RNA, 427 nt
Filed under: uncultured delta proteobacterium
Lineage: Bacteria; Deltaproteobacteria
Description: bacterial SSU rRNA
Rfam family: Bacterial small subunit ribosomal RNA
Source: RNAcentral